Molecule: ribosomal RNA, 480 nt
Filed under: uncultured bacterium
Lineage: Bacteria
Description: bacterial SSU rRNA
Rfam family: Bacterial small subunit ribosomal RNA
Source: RNAcentral
CACUGUCACUCCUACGGGGAGGCAGCAGGUGGGGGAAUAUUGCACAAUGGGCGCAAGCCUGAUGCAGCCAUGCCGCGUGUAUGAAGAAGGCCUUCGGGUUGUAAAGUACUUUCAGCAGUGAGGAAGGUGGGUAUGUUAAUAGCAUACUCAUUUGACGUUAGCUGCAGAAGAAGCACCGGCUAACUCCGUGCCAGCAGCCGCGGUAAUACGGAGGGUGCGAGCGUUAAUCGGAAUUACUGGGCGUAAAGCGCAUGCAGGUGGUUUGUUAAGUCAGAUGUGAAAGCCCGGGGCGUCAACCUCGGAAUUGCAUUUGUAAACUGGCAGACUAGAGUACUGUAGAGGGGGGUAGGAAUUUCAGGUGUAGCGGUGAAAAUGCGUAGAGAUCUGAAGGAAUACCGGUGGCGAAGGCGGCCCCCUGGACAGAUACUGACACUCAAAUGCGAAAGCGUGGGGAGCAAACAGGAUUAGAUACCCUGGUAG